Molecule: ribosomal RNA, 496 nt
Filed under: uncultured bacterium
Lineage: Bacteria
Description: partial 16S ribosomal RNA
Rfam family: Bacterial small subunit ribosomal RNA
Source: RNAcentral
GAUGAACGCUGGCGGCGUGCCUAAUACAUGCAAGUCGAGCGAACAGACGAGGAGCUUGCUCCUCUGACGUUAGCGGCGGACGGGUGAGUAACACGUGGAUAACCUACCUAUAAGACUGGGAUAACUUCGGGAAACCGGAGCUAAUACCGGAUAAUAUAUUGAACCGCAUGGUUCAAUAGUGAAAGACGGUUUUGCUGUCACUUAUAGAUGGAUCCGCGCCGCAUUAGCUAGUUGGUAAGGUAACGGCUUACCAAGGCAACGAUGCGUAGCCGACCUGAGAGGGGGAUCGGCCACCCAGGAACUGAAAACCGGCCCAGACCCCUACGGGAGGCAGAAGUAGGGAAUUUUCCGAAAUGGGGGAAAGCCUGACGGAGAAACGCCGGGGGAGUGAUGAAGGUCUUCGGAUCGUAAAACUCUUUUAUUAGGGAAGAAAAAAUGUGUAAGUAACUAUGCAGGUCUUGACGGUACCUAAGCAGAAAGCCACGGCUAACUACGU